Molecule: ribosomal RNA, 474 nt
Filed under: uncultured bacterium
Lineage: Bacteria
Description: bacterial SSU rRNA
Rfam family: Bacterial small subunit ribosomal RNA
Source: RNAcentral
CAACCUGGCGGCGUGCUUACCAUGCAAGUCGAGCGGAAAGGCCCUUUCGGGGGUACUCGAGCGGCGAACGGGUGAGUAACACGUGAGUAAUCUGCCCUUCACUUCGGGAUAGCCACCGGAAACGGUGAUUAAUACCGGAUAUGACAUGGACUCGCAUGGGUUUGUGUGGAAAGUUUUUCGGUGAGGGAUGUGCUCGCGGCCUAUCAGCUUGAUGGUGAGGUAAUGACUCACCAUGGCUUCGACGGGUAGCCGGCCUGAGAGGGUGACCGGUCACACUGGGACUGAGACACGGCCCAGACUCCUACGGGAGGCAGCAGUGGGGAAUAUUGGACAAUGGGCGGAAGCCUGAUCCAGCAACGCCGCGUGAGGGAUGACGGCCUUCGGGUUGUAAACCUCUUUCAGUACCGACGAAGCGAGAGUGACGGUAGGUACAGAAGAAGCACCGGCCAACUACGUGCCAGCAGCCGCGGUAAU